GUAGUCCACGCCGUAAACGAUGAGUGCUAAGUGUGGGAGGGUUUCCGCCUUUCAGUGCUGCAGCACACGCAUUAAGCACUCCGCGUGGGGAGUACGCCCGCAAGGUUGAAACUCAAAGGAAUUGGCGGGGGCCCGCACAAGCGGUGGAGCAUGUUGUUUAAUUAGAAGCAACGCGAAGAACCUUACCAGGUCUUGACAUCCUUUGACCACUCUAGAGAUAGAGUUUCCCCUUCGGGGGCAAAGUGACAGGUGGUGCAUGGUUGUCGUCAGCUCGUGUCGUGAGAUGUUGGGUUAAGUCCCGCAACGAGCGCAACCCUUAUUGUUAGUUGCCAUCAUUUAGUUGGGCACUCUAGAGAGACUGCCGGUGACAAACCGGAGGAAGGUGGGGAUGACGUCAAAUCAUCAUGCCCCUUAUGACCUGGGCUACACACGUGCUACAAUGGGAAGUACAACGGGUUGCGAAGUCGCGAGGGUAAGCUAAUCUCUUAAAGCUUAUCUCAGUUCGGAUUGUAGGCUGCAACUCGCCUACAUGAAACCGGAAUCGCUAGU
This 549-nucleotide ribosomal RNA is filed under the name Enterococcus casseliflavus. RNAcentral's name for it is "bacterial SSU rRNA". It matches the Rfam family "Bacterial small subunit ribosomal RNA", at positions 790 to 1339 of the family's 1533-position model. The record is from RNAcentral. Lineage: Bacteria; Bacillati; Bacillota; Bacilli; Lactobacillales; Enterococcaceae.